RNAcentral lists this ribosomal RNA (262 nucleotides) under uncultured archaeon. Its description in RNAcentral is "partial 16S ribosomal RNA". It matches the Rfam family "Archaeal small subunit ribosomal RNA", at positions 748 to 1009 of the family's 1478-position model. The record is from RNAcentral.
UGGCCGUAAACGAUGUGGACUUGGUGUUGGAAUGGCUCCGAGCUGCUCCAGUGCCGAAGGGAAGCUGUUAAGUCCACCGCCUGGGAAGUACGGUCGCAAGACUGAAACUUAAAGGAAUUGGCGGGGGGAGCACAACAACGGGUGGAGCUUGCGGUUUAAUUGGAUUCAACGCCGGAAAUCUUACCGGGACCGACAGCAACAUGAAGGCCAAGCUGAAGACUUUGCCGGAUUAGCUGAGAGGAGGUGCAUGGCGUAGUCGUGU